GACGAACGCUGGCGGCGUGCCUAAUACAUGCAAGUUGAGCGCUGAAGGUUGGUACUUGUACCGACUGGAUGAGCAGCGAACGGGUGAGUAACGCGUGGGGAAUCUGCCUUUGAGCGGGGGACAACAUUUGGAAACGAAUGCUAAUACCGCAUAAAAACUUUAAACACAAGUUUUAAGUUUGAAAGAUGCAAUUGCAUCACUCAAAGAUGAUCCCGCGUUGUAUUAGCUAGUUGGUGAGGUAAAGGCUCACCAAGGCGAUGAUACAUAGCCGACCUGAGAGGGUGAUCGGCCACAUUGGGACUGAGACCCGGCCCAAACUCCUACGGGAGGCAGCAGUAGGGCAUCUUCGGCAAUGGGCGAAAGUCUGACCGAGCAACGCCGCGUGAGUGAAGAAGGUUUUCGGAUCGUAAAACUCUGUUGGUAGGGAAGAACGUUGGUGAGAGUGGAAAGCUCAUCAAGUGACGGUAACUACCCAGAAAGGGACGGCUAACUACGUG
RNAcentral lists this ribosomal RNA (497 nucleotides) under uncultured bacterium. Its description in RNAcentral is "partial 16S ribosomal RNA". It matches the Rfam family "Bacterial small subunit ribosomal RNA", at positions 28 to 507 of the family's 1533-position model. The record is from RNAcentral.